CCUACGGGAGGCAGCAGUGAGGAAUAUUGGUCAAUGGACGAGAGUCUGAACCAGCCAAGUAGCGUGAAGGAUGACUGCCCUCUGGGUUGUAAACUUCUUUUAUAUGGGAAUAAAUUUUUCCACGUGUGGGCUUUUGUAUGUACCAUAUGAAUAAGGAUCGGCGAACUCCGUGCCAGCAGCCGCGGUAAUACGGAGGAUCCGAGCUUUAUCCGGAUUUAUUGGGUUUAACGGGAGCGUAGGUGGAUGGUUAAGUCAGUUGUGAAAGUUUGCGGCUCAACCGGAAAAUUGCAGUUGAAACUGGCAGUCUGGAGUACAGUAGAGGUGGGUGGAAUUCGUGGUGUAGCGGUGAAAUGCUUAGAUAUCACGAAGAACACCGAUUGCGAAGGCAGCUCACUGGACUGCAACUGACACUGAGGUUCGAAAGUGUGGGUAUCAAACAGGAUUAGAUACCCGUGUAGUC
RNAcentral lists this ribosomal RNA (460 nucleotides) under uncultured bacterium. Its description in RNAcentral is "partial 16S ribosomal RNA". It matches the Rfam family "Bacterial small subunit ribosomal RNA", at positions 338 to 795 of the family's 1533-position model. The record is from RNAcentral.